UACGGGGGGGGCAAGCGUUGUUCGGAAUUACUGGGCGUAAAGGGCGCGUAGGCGGCCUGCUAAGUCACACGUGAAAUCCCUCGGCUCAACCGAGGAACUGCGUCUGAUACUGGAAGGCUUGAAUCCGGGAGAGGGAUGUGGAAUUCCAGGUGUAGCGGUGAAAUGCGUAGAUAUCUGGAGGAACACCGGUGGCGAAGGCGGCAUCCUGGACCGGUAUUGACGCUGAGGCGCGAAAGCUAGGGGAGCAAACGGG
Molecule: ribosomal RNA, 253 nt
Filed under: uncultured bacterium
Lineage: Bacteria
Description: partial 16S ribosomal RNA
Rfam family: Bacterial small subunit ribosomal RNA
Source: RNAcentral